UUGUAUGUGUGCCAGCAGCCGCGGUAAUACGUAGGGGGCAAGCGUUAUCCGGAUUUACUGGGUGUAAAGGGAGCGUAGACGGCAAGGCAAGUCUGAUGUGAAAACCCAGGGCUUAACCCUGGGACUGCAUUGGAAACUGUCUGGCUCGAGUGCCGGAGAGGUAAGCGGAAUUCCUAGUGUAGCGGUGAAAUGCGUAGAUAUUAGGAAGAACACCAGUGGCGAAGGCGGCUUACUGGACGGUAACUGACGUUGAGGCUCGAAAGCGUGGGGAGCAAACAGG
RNAcentral lists this ribosomal RNA (280 nucleotides) under Fusicatenibacter saccharivorans. RNAcentral describes it as "partial 16S ribosomal RNA". It matches the Rfam family "Bacterial small subunit ribosomal RNA", at positions 497 to 776 of the family's 1533-position model. Lineage: Bacteria; Bacillati; Bacillota; Clostridia; Lachnospirales; Lachnospiraceae. The record is from RNAcentral.